GGCUCCAUAGCUCAGUGGUUAGAGCACUGGUCCUAAAAGGGGUCGCGAGUUCAAUUCUCGCUGGGGCCU
Molecule: transfer RNA, 69 nt
Filed under: Anguilla anguilla (European eel)
Lineage: Eukaryota; Metazoa; Chordata; Actinopteri; Anguilliformes; Anguillidae
Rfam family: tRNA
About the family: Transfer RNA (tRNA) molecules are approximately 80 nucleotides in length. Their secondary structure includes four short double-helical elements and three loops (D, anti-codon, and T loops).
Source: Rfam by way of RNAcentral